UAGACGAGAAGACCCUGUUGAGCUUGGUAUGGCGAAGCCUUUGUGGGUUUGAGGUAUGUUUUUUCGGGACUGAAAGGAAGGGAGUUAAUGCCUUCUAUUAUAGAAUACGGAUCCGGCAUGGCCGAGUUGAAGAAGAUAGCUACCACAGGGAUAACAGCGCAAUCUCCUUGAUAAGAUCAUAUUUAAGAGGUGGUUUGCGACCUCGAUGUUG
This 211-nucleotide ribosomal RNA is filed under the name Arcopagia crassa. RNAcentral describes it as "partial 16S ribosomal RNA". The record is from RNAcentral. Lineage: Eukaryota; Metazoa; Mollusca; Bivalvia; Cardiida; Tellinidae.